UGGGAGAUAGUUUAGCGGUAGAACUACCGGCUCUGGACCGGUCAACCUUGGUUCGAAUCCAGGUCUCCCAGCCA
This 74-nucleotide transfer RNA is filed under the name Holosporales bacterium. Its description in RNAcentral is "tRNA-Gln". It matches the Rfam family "tRNA". Rfam says of the family: Transfer RNA (tRNA) molecules are approximately 80 nucleotides in length. Their secondary structure includes four short double-helical elements and three loops (D, anti-codon, and T loops). The record is from RNAcentral. Lineage: Bacteria; Pseudomonadati; Pseudomonadota; Alphaproteobacteria; Holosporales.